UUCAGAAUUCAAUACAUCUGUAUAUGCAUAUCAAAUUAUCAUCUCCUCCAAUUCUCUCUCCUUCCGUGCUCUUGGGUUACUACACGUUAUUGAGCCCAUUAACUUUUAUUCUUGACUAGUAAGGUUCAGUUGUCUAAGAGGUGAAAUUUAUUUGAGCUUAAUUUCUAUGGCAAAAGAUGUCCAAAAGCAUAGAAAAUUAUUAAAGACUGUGUUCAGCAGCAAGUUCCAAAGGCUCCAAAUACUGCAACAGCCAUACUCAGAAUGCAUUUUCAUGAUUUCUUUGUUUGGUUUGGUCUUUGCAGGGUUAUGAUGAAUUUGUUCUUCUUAAUUUCACUUCAAGUAUUGGAAAUCAGAUUGAAAAGCAAGCCAAUUCUAAUCUUGCAUUGAGAGUCUUUUCAUUCAUUGAUGAUGUAAAGAUAUUACUUGAAGUUGAAUGCCCUGAAGUUGUUUCUUGUGUUGAUAUUGAGCCCGUUUGGAUGUGCUUAAAAAAAAAUAACUUUUAUGUAUGAAGUGCUUUUAGAACUUUAAAGUGUUGAAAGUUAUUUUUAUAAAUAAGCAGUUGAGUGUUAGGAUAAAAGUGCUUAAAUGAGGAAAAUUAUGUGAAUUUUAGGGUAAAAAGAAUAAAAAGGGUAGUUUGGGAAUGUAGUUAAAAUAUAAGGGAUAUAAAAGUAAUUUCCAUGGUCAAAGAAAAUGACUUUAAGCACAUAGAAAAAAAAAAGUUAGGAAUCCUAACUUUUCAUUUUUGAUUGACUUUAAGAACUUUCUAGCUUAAAGUUAGCAUUAGGCAAACACGUCCAAAAGCUGAAAAGAGACUUUAAGUUGGUUUGACCAACUUAAAGCCAAUCCAAACGGGCUCAUUAUCGCGUUGGUUCCUAAAGGCAAUUGUGGUUAUAGUAAGUGUAA
Solanum dulcamara is the source of this 903-nucleotide long non-coding RNA. RefSeq lists it as uncharacterized. Lineage: Eukaryota; Viridiplantae; Streptophyta; Magnoliopsida; Solanales; Solanaceae. The transcript is spliced from 3 exons. The record is from RefSeq and is a predicted model, not a curated record.